ACUCAGUUGGUAGAGUACAAAGCUCUUAACCUUAUGGACGUGGGUUCAAGCCCCAU
Triticum aestivum (bread wheat) is the source of this 56-nucleotide non-coding RNA. NCBI's taxonomy places the organism in Eukaryota, Viridiplantae, Streptophyta, Magnoliopsida, Poales, Poaceae. The record is from Rfam.